This is a long non-coding RNA of Agrilus planipennis (emerald ash borer), 1103 nucleotides long. RefSeq lists it as uncharacterized. NCBI's taxonomy places the organism in Eukaryota, Metazoa, Arthropoda, Insecta, Coleoptera, Buprestidae. The transcript is spliced from 2 exons. The record is from RefSeq and is a predicted model, not a curated record.
UCAUAGUGAUAAUCCUACGUAAUAUGUAGAUAUCAAGUACUUAUCUAUAGUGUACAUACAUUUUGCGAUGAAGCUGAAAAUUCUAUUUGUAAAAUAGUUAUUAUUGUACCUACGGAUUGACAACAAUAAAUGAAAAUAGUAUUGUUGAUUUUAGUUUUUGGCCCAAAAACUUCACAUAUUAUAUGCUAUUUUGUUGAAAUGAGCUUUUACCGCAGGGGAGCUAAUAAUAUUGUUAUUUACUGAUCUUGGGCUUUUUACUUUCUCUUAAGAAAAUUAUGGAAGAGUGUACUAUAUUAGGUAUCUCCUGAAUAAAAAGUUUUACCAGCGGGACCAAGUCCAUUGAAAAUGCCAAAAAGUAUUCCGUAAAGAAGUUCCCACGCAUCUUCUUCGUCAAGAUUUAUUAACUUUCAAAGUUUAGGAAUUUCAUUGUUAUUAUUAUUUAAAAAAAAAAAAAAGAUGUUACAAUAAAACAUUAAGAAUUAUGCCAUACAUUUUUCUUCCGCUAGUAAACUUAUAAAGUCAAACCGAAGAAAACGGAGAAAACUCCUGACACUGUUCCCCUGAUUUUUUACUGAAAAUGGAACAGCGAUAUUGUUUUUUCGGAAAAGCCACUUUUGUAUUUUGUUCUACUGAUAAACGAAAAAACUUCAUCCUAAAUCUAUGAUAGAAAAUUGUAUGGUCUUUUCAAUAGUGAGGUAUUCUUUUCAUGGUUUUCUUACGAAAAACUAGUGAAAUGUCCAAUAAGCCAUCAGUAAAUAUCAAUAUUAGAAGCUCUGCUUGGACGAGAGUUCUUCUCAUAUUAAGUAUUUACAAGUUAGUAUUAAACCUGUGCGUACGAAAAAAUAAUUUUUGAAGCACCCCAAGAAAAGAUGGCUAAGCGUAAUUUAUUGUUUACUAAUAGAAGAAAGAUAUUGUAUGAGAAAGCAAGUAGAUAAGCCAGUGUGUGAUGCCAGACAAAGUAAAAAUAAGAUAACAAUAGUACCUUUUUAAGUAAUUCAUCCAUUGUUAGUAACCCUUUUAAAGUUUGUUUAUUCACCACUUGAAUUUUGAAUUAAACGGUAUAGUUUAUAGUAUGUUCACUACUACGACAAAAACGGUUUAAA